AUCCGGCUGACGAAUCCCAAAUAGGACGAAACGCACGUCAAACUGGAU
Molecule: non-coding RNA, 48 nt
Filed under: Schistosoma mattheei
Lineage: Eukaryota; Metazoa; Platyhelminthes; Trematoda; Strigeidida; Schistosomatidae
Source: RNAcentral